ACAUUCAAGAACAGUACAAAAACAUUCUUGCGUCAAUAAGAAUGAUGAAGCUUCGGUGUAAUUGAAAUCAGAUGAAGAUGGCAAGCAAAACUUUGCAGAUCUAAGACUUUUUCUUUCUCUAAUAACUUUGCAGGAAACAAGCAGAGCUAGGGAAUAUGACAAGCCCGGAUCUGAUAGGUUUGCUUCUGUAUGGUUGCAAUCGGUGGAUGAAGAUGCAAAUCAGAUGAAGAUGGAGUGAUGGAGAUGACAAGCAAAACUUUGCAGAUCUGAGUUUUUAUGGUUGUAAACCCUAUAUAUUUUUACGAAUCUUCUAAUUUGUUUUUGAAAUUUUUGAUUUUUUCAGUUGUUUAGUGGAUGAUUGUGGCAUUAGGUUCACUUGAGAUGUGAUUUCUUGUAUGUUGAAGGCUAUGAUGAUUUAGCUCUCCGCUUUAG
Molecule: long non-coding RNA, 432 nt
Organism: Helianthus annuus (common sunflower)
Lineage: Eukaryota; Viridiplantae; Streptophyta; Magnoliopsida; Asterales; Asteraceae
Exons: 3
Source: RefSeq, a predicted model, not a curated record